CCUACGGGGGGCUGCAGUGGGGAAUUUUGGACAAUGGGCGCAAGCCUGAUCCAGCCAUUCCGCGUGCAGGAUGAAGGCCUUCGGGUUGUAAACUGCUUUUGUACGGAACGAAACGGCGAGCUCUAAUACAGUUUGCUAAUGACGGUACCGUAAGAAUAAGCACCGGCUAACUACGUGCCAGCAGCCGCGGUAAUACGUAGGGUGCAAGCGUUAAUCGGAAUUACUGGGCGUAAAGCGUGCGCAGGCGGUUAUAUAAGACAGAUGUGAAAUCCCCGGGCUCAACCUGGGAACUGCAUUUGUGACUGUAUGGCUAGAGUACGGCAGAGGGGGAUGGAAUUCCGCGUGUAGCAGUGAAAUGCGUAGAUAUGCGGAGGAACACCGAUGGCGAAGGCAAUCCCCUGGGCCUGUACUGACGCUCAUGCACGAAAGCGUGGGGAGCAAACAGGAUUAGAUACCCCAGUAGUC
Molecule: ribosomal RNA, 465 nt
Filed under: uncultured Variovorax sp.
Lineage: Bacteria; Pseudomonadati; Pseudomonadota; Betaproteobacteria; Burkholderiales; Comamonadaceae
Description: bacterial SSU rRNA
Rfam family: Bacterial small subunit ribosomal RNA
Source: RNAcentral